RNAcentral lists this ribosomal RNA (158 nucleotides) under uncultured Ceratobasidium. RNAcentral's name for it is "5.8S ribosomal RNA". It matches the Rfam family "5.8S ribosomal RNA". From Rfam's summary of the family: 5.8S ribosomal RNA (5.8S rRNA) is a component of the large subunit of the eukaryotic ribosome. It is transcribed by RNA polymerase I as part of the 45S precursor that also contains 18S and 28S rRNA. Functionally, it is thought that 5.8S rRNA may be involved in ribosome translocation. The record is from RNAcentral. Lineage: Eukaryota; Fungi; Basidiomycota; Agaricomycetes; Cantharellales; Ceratobasidiaceae.
ACUAAGUUUCAACAACGGAUCUCUUGGCUCUCGCAUCGAUGAAGAACGCAGCGAAAUGCGAUAAGUAAUGUGAAUUGCAGAAUUCAGUGAAUCAUCGAAUCUUUGAACGCACCUUGCGCUCCUUGGUAUUCCUUGGAGCAUGCCUGUUUGAGUAUCAU